CACACUGAGAGAGAUGCUUCAGGAUUUCUUGGAACACAUCAUCUGACAAAUGUUCAGUGUAGGAAAGGAUAUACUAUGGAGAGAAAGGAGCAGUGUAAACGGAAUCAAGAAAGCCACAUGCAAUCAUGAAAAACAACCUCACCUGUCCAGCCUGAUUCUGACCCUACAAAGGCAAUAUUGAUGACGAGUGCAGUAAUGGGGUGAAACUUGCAGCUACGUUUCUUGAUUUUGUAAGGAUGGCACUAUAGAAAUUCCUGGUGUUUGUACCCAGCAACGUUUAUUUUCCCCUAUUUACUCCUGUAUGGAUGUCAGGAAACACCGUUGGCCAUCAGUACUAAGUGCCUCUCUGAAAUUACAUUUCUUCUGGACACUCAAAUACCAGUGGAACGUCAAGCUUCCCAGUGUAGUAAUGUCCCAUAGACAUUACAAUGAUUAUGUGAUUUUACAAUUCAGCUACAGCAGAAAAAAAUCCACAAAAACACGUAAGUUCACUUUCACAUGAAAAAUAGGCUGUAAUAAAUUAUAAUUUCAUUGCUAUUUGUGUGAAAACAACCUGUAUUGGAAGGGAAUAGGCUCACUGCAGUAUAUUUUCAAGAUGUGUUGAAAUACAGCAUCAAUUAUGUCCAUAGAAUGAAGCAGAAAAUUACUGCACAGAAAUAAUUUGAGGCUUUAAACUGGAUUGUGGUUUUUUUUCCUUCAAAGCAGUUUGCACUUGAUUAACUCCUGUUAUCUCUUCUCCCAGGUAGGCUUGGCUUUGCCCAUUUGCAAUUCAGAAUUCUGGUGCUAUUCUGAUUAACUUACAAAACUUUGCCUUUCAUAACUUUUUCCUUCCUAACCUAUAUUUAAGAAA
This is a long non-coding RNA of Cuculus canorus (common cuckoo), 850 nucleotides long. RefSeq lists it as uncharacterized. The transcript is spliced from 4 exons. The record is from RefSeq and is a predicted model, not a curated record. NCBI's taxonomy places the organism in Eukaryota, Metazoa, Chordata, Aves, Cuculiformes, Cuculidae.